CACCUGAUCCCAUUCCGAACUCAGAAGUGAAACGAAAUAGCGCCGAUGGUAGUGUGGGGUUUCCCCAUGUGAGAGUAGGACAUCGCCAGGC
RNAcentral lists this ribosomal RNA (91 nucleotides) under Vibrio parahaemolyticus. Lineage: Bacteria; Pseudomonadati; Pseudomonadota; Gammaproteobacteria; Vibrionales; Vibrionaceae. The record is from RNAcentral.